AUGGGCGAAAGCCUGAUGCAGCCAUGCCGCGUGUGUGAAGAAGGCCUUCGGGUUGUAAAGCACUUUCAGCGAGGAGGAAAGGUUAGUGGUUAAUACCCGCUAGCUGUGACGUUACUCGCAGAAGAAGCACCGGCUAACUCCGUGCCAGCAGCCGCGGUAAUACGGAGGGUGCGAGCGUUAAUCGGAAUUACUGGGCGUAAAGCGCAUGCAGGCGGCCAAGUCAGUCAGAUGUGAAAGCCCCGGGCUUAACCUGGGAAUUGCAUUUGAUACUGCUUGGCUAGAGUCCUUGAGAGGGGGGUAGAAUUUCAGGUGUAGCGGUGAAAUGCGUAGAGAUCUGAAGGAAUACCAGUGGCGAAGGCGGCCCCCUGGCAAGAGACUGACGCUCAGAUGCGAAAGCGUGGGGAGCAAACAGGAUUAGAUACCCUGGUAGUCCACGCCGUAAACGAUGUCUAUUAGGAGUCUGUGCCCUUGAGCCGUGGGUUCCAAAGCUAACGCAUUAAAUAGACCGCCUGGGGAGUACGGCCG
RNAcentral lists this ribosomal RNA (525 nucleotides) under Ferrimonas sp. 2Bf5S73. Its description in RNAcentral is "bacterial SSU rRNA". It matches the Rfam family "Bacterial small subunit ribosomal RNA", at positions 371 to 888 of the family's 1533-position model. RNAcentral also lists the same sequence under 1 other name. The record is from RNAcentral. Lineage: Bacteria; Pseudomonadati; Pseudomonadota; Gammaproteobacteria; Alteromonadales; Ferrimonadaceae.